This 356-nucleotide ribosomal RNA is filed under the name uncultured bacterium. RNAcentral describes it as "partial 16S ribosomal RNA". It matches the Rfam family "Bacterial small subunit ribosomal RNA", at positions 338 to 691 of the family's 1533-position model. The record is from RNAcentral.
CCUACGUGUGGCAGCAGUGAGGAAUAUUGGUCAAUGGACGAGAGUCUGAACCAGCCAAGUCGCGUGAAGGAUGACUGCCCUAUGGGUUGUAAACUUCUUUUAUAUGGGAAUAAAACGUUCCACGUGUGGGAUUUUGUAUGUACCAUAUGAAUAAGGCUCGGCUAACUACGUGCCAGCAGCCGCGGUAAUACGGAGGAUCCGAGCGUUAUCCGGAUUUAUUGGGUUUAAAGGGACCGUAGUUGGAUUGUUAAGUCCGUUUGUAAAGUUUGCUGCUCAACCGUAAAAUCGCAGUUUCAACUGGCUGUCUUGAGGACAGUAGCGGUGGGCGGGAAUCGUGGUGUAGCGGUGAAAUGCUU